CUCGGCAUUUCGCGCAUCUGAAAUCGGGCGACCCGGCCAAAGACAAGAACCUGUUGCUGACCACGAUCCUCGCCGACGCGAUCAACCUGGGCCUGACCAAGAUGGCGGAGUCUUGCCCCGGCACGACCUACGCCAAGCUGGCUUGGCUGCAAGCCUGGCACAUCCGCGACGAAACCUACGGGGCGGCGCUGGCCGAUCUGGUCAACGCACAGUUCCGCCAUCCCUUCGCCGAGCACUGGGGCGACGGCACCACCUCAUCGUCGGACGGCCAGAACUUCCGCACCGGCAGCAAGGCCGAGAGCACCGGCCACAUCAACCCGAAAUACGGGAGCAGCCCAGGGCGGACGUUCUACACCCACAUUUCUGACCAGUACGCGCCAUUUCACACCAAGGUCGUGAAC
RNAcentral lists this ribosomal RNA (401 nucleotides) under uncultured bacterium. Its description in RNAcentral is "partial 16S ribosomal RNA". The record is from RNAcentral.